Molecule: RNA transcript, 936 nt
Organism: Mus musculus (house mouse)
Lineage: Eukaryota; Metazoa; Chordata; Mammalia; Rodentia; Muridae
Gene name: predicted gene 4432
Exons: 1
Source: RefSeq, marked validated
UUCAGAAACAACAAGAGAGGCAGAGUUGGGGAAAGUGACAUAGCUUGGUGGGUAAAGGGGUUUUUACUGCAUAAGUCUGACAACCUGUGUUUGACUGCUCCCCAUAACCUACUGGAGGAGAACCAGCUCCCAAAAGUUAUCCUCUGAUUUUCACCUAAGCAUCUGCAUUCUUUUACAAACCCAAAAAAUAAUUUUAAAAGACAUUUAAUGCUCUUCCAGGGACAGUGCUUAGAGGCACUCAGGAUGGUACAGCACUUGACAUACUGUCGUAGGCUUUCCUACAAUACAGCCUCUAACAAAACUAGGCUAACAACAGAACUGUUUACCUUUAUACCAAGAAGGUUGGGAAAGCACCUAAAUCCGCAUGUGGCCUGCGCCCAGGCAGACUGCGAGGGGUUCGUGCUGUGAGGCCCGAUGUCCUUCUGAGACUGUCUAAGACCAAGAAGCACGUCAGCAGGGCCUAUGGUGGGUCCAUGUGUGGCAAGCUUGUCUGUCUGUGACGGGAUCAAGUGGGCCUUCCUUAUCGAGGAGCAGAAAAUCCUUGUGAAAGUGUUGAAGGUAUAAGCACAGAGUCAUAAAGCAAAAUAAAUAUGCAACUUUUAAAUAUUGCAUACCUAAUCUUAGCACUCCACACUGUACAUUUCAAUUUGGGGGUAAAUUUUUCAUUCAAAAACAUAUGAUUGAGCCUUAGGCAUGUAGGCCUUAGUAGUAAUCAGAUGUAUGAAACUUUCCCAGCAUUGCACACAUUUAAUGCUAUCAGUACAUGUCUAUAAUUCAGAAUGCUUCCUUAAAACAAAACCAUGUAAUAAGUGUAAAUGAGAGAAGACCCUUUUGAAAACAGUACAGGAGAUCUCAAUAAGUGAUUUUUAAAAAUUGAUUUUCCUUUUGUAAAACUGUUGUGGUAUUAUGAUGAUAAGGCACCAAAUCUCAUGCUUG